AACGAACGCUGGCGGCGUGGAUAAGACAUGCAAGUCGAGCGAUUGUUAACGGGUAGCAAUAUCGGUUAACGAGAGCGGCGCAAGGGUGCGUAACACGUGGGCAAUCUGCCGUGAAGUUUGGGAUAAUCCCGCGAAAGCGGGACUAAUACCGGAUGUGACAGACUGGUGGCAUCACUGGUUUGUCAAAGUUGGGGACCGCAAGGCCUGACGCUUCAUGAUGAGCCCGCGGCCUAUCAGGUAGUUGGCGGGGUAACGGCCCACCAAGCCUAAGACGGGUAGCUGGUCUGAGAGGACGACCAGCCACACUGGAACUGAGACACGGUCCAGACACCUACGGGUGGCAGCAGUCGAGAAUUUUUCACAAUGGGGGAAACCCUGAUGGAGCGACGCCGCGUGGGGGAUGAAUGGCUUCGGCCCGUAAACCCCUGUCAUUUGCGAGCAAAGCGCAUUAUUUAAAAGAUGAUGUGUUGAUAGUAGCGGAAGAGGAAGGGACGGCUAACUCUGUG
RNAcentral lists this ribosomal RNA (506 nucleotides) under uncultured organism. RNAcentral's name for it is "bacterial SSU rRNA". It matches the Rfam family "Bacterial small subunit ribosomal RNA", at positions 29 to 507 of the family's 1533-position model. The record is from RNAcentral.